Molecule: ribosomal RNA, 600 nt
Filed under: Chauliodus sloani (Sloane's viperfish)
Lineage: Eukaryota; Metazoa; Chordata; Actinopteri; Stomiiformes; Stomiidae
Description: partial 12S ribosomal RNA
Rfam family: Bacterial small subunit ribosomal RNA
Source: RNAcentral
AAAAACUAAAGCCGAACAUCCCCCAAGCCGUUGCACGCUUACGGAAGAAUGAAGCUCCCUCACGAAAGUGGCUUUACACAACCUGAACCCACGAUAGCUAGAAUACAAACUGGGAUUAGUAAACCCACUAUGCCUAGCCGUAAACCUCGACCCUCAUAUACAGCGAGUGUCCGCCAGGGAAAUACAAGCACUAGCUUAAAACCCAAAGGACUUGGCGGUACCUCAAACCCCCCUAGAGGAGCCUGUUCUUAAACCGAUAAUCCCCGUUCAACCUCACCACCUCUUGUUUUUCAGUCUAUAUACCGCCGUCGCAAACUUACCCUGUGAGGGACUCAUAGUAAGUAAAACGGGCACAGCCCAGAACGUCAGGUCGAGGUGCAGCAUAUGAGGUGGGAAGAAAUGGGCUACAUUCCCUACUGUAGGGCACUACGAAUACUGCCAUGAAAUUGGCAACUUGAAGGUGGAUUUAGCAGUAAGAAAAGACCAGAACAUUCUUCUGAAGCAGGACAUGAGGUGCGUACACACCGCCCGUCACCCUCCGCUAGUUCCCGCAUCUCUUGUACCAACAAAAUAGCAAGACAAAGCAGAGGCAAGUCGUAA